CUUUGUCACAGGAGUAGGCUUAAAACUUUGAUGGUGCCAAUUAGUAGGCCUAAACAACAAGCAAAUAGCCACGACAGGAGAUUCAGCCCCAUUCCAGUGGACAGCAACUGAAUUGGAAUCCCGCAAUCUGACGUUCAGCACCACAGUGCAGUACCCAACACUCAGUUAAAGCAAAAAAAGUGGGGCUGCAGUUAAGACGAACGCGUGUGUGUGUGGGGGGGGGACAUGUGCAACCCAUAGCUCAAAAUGUACAGCAUCUAUUCUCAACCUGACCCCUACUGACCUGGAGGAGUGUGAGCAGUCUGUCUCUGUCUCUGAACCAGAGCAUCUGAAGACACUGCUGCAGCAUCAUAGACAUCCUGGGCACCUUAAAGAAGCUAAGGAUCCCUCAGAUGUUCUCUUCUACGAUUCUGA
This is a long non-coding RNA of Oncorhynchus tshawytscha (Chinook salmon), 414 nucleotides long. NCBI's taxonomy places the organism in Eukaryota, Metazoa, Chordata, Actinopteri, Salmoniformes, Salmonidae. The record is from Ensembl.